Molecule: non-coding RNA, 951 nt
Organism: Lagopus muta (rock ptarmigan)
Lineage: Eukaryota; Metazoa; Chordata; Aves; Galliformes; Phasianidae
Source: the annotation of a RefSeq genome assembly
UGCAGGCGGGCGGCUGGUUUCCCCUGCGCCAAAGGAGAUUUCGCAGCCAUUUCUCAGUUGUCCGCCUACGCCGCAGAGCCCGGGCUACGCUGCAGGACACGCAGAGCCCAAACCCCGCUGCCCGAGCCCAGGCGCCCAGCACUCGCAGCCAGGAGCAAGCCCGAGUGCCGCCGGCGCAGGGCACAGUCUCGGGGCGGAGCUGGCGGCGGCGGUGGUGGGGAGGAGGCGGCGCGGGCGGAGCAGAGUCGGGGCUGGCGGGGGCCAGAGCGGGGUGCGCCCGCUUCUGGACCAUUGGCUUCUUUCCGACCUCGUGCACCUCUCUCCUCCUGCAUGAAAUUUCUGUGGAAGAAAAUGGAUUUUCUGAGUUUGCUGCUUCUUCUCUUCUCGGCAGUGGCUGUGAGCAGAGCCCAGGUGCAGCAGGAGCCGGCGGCAGAGACCAGAGAGGGCAUCGGCAUCAACAUCACCUGCUCACACCCCAACAUACAGCCCGACGGGUACAUCCAUUGGUACCGUCAGCUCCCGGGCCGAGGACCCGCAUUCCUCGUCAGCGCCGUUAAAGGCUUCAAGGAGGUGCCGGACCCGGAGGGGCAGCUGUGGGUGUCGGCAGACCGCCGCUCCAGCGCCCUGUGUCUCGCCCGGCCCCGGCUCGGGGACGCGGCGCUGUAUUACUGCGCCUUGGGCGCACGGGAAGCGAAGCCGGGGCUGCGGCCGGGCACGAACCGCUUGGGGCGGGGCGGGGGCACAGUGCCGUCCGGGCCCGCAGGGGGCGCUGCCGCUCCUCCCUCCCGGCGCCGCCGAGCUGGCAGUGCUGACAUGGAACGCGUCCGUCGCACCGCUCGCAUCCCACGGAUUCACUGUUUCCAGCUGCACACCUUCAUGAGCGUUGAGUUUAUGUGCAGGUCUCACAGACACCUUCAUGUGAUCUCCUCAGUGGCUCUGUUGAGAGUAUGA